CUUCCCUGGUUUAUAAGGAUUCGUGACAAUUGAGGUAUUUUUGGAGGGUCAGACUUUAGGCAGGUAAGGAAAGCACAGGGAAAGCCUCUUCCCGCCUGCUGUUCUCCAGGUGCCCUCAGUUCAAGGUAAUCAGCCCGCCAAAGCAUCUUGUUUUGGGCUGGCAUUUCCUGAACUCCUUCAGUGGUUAAGCUCAGGGAUCUGGAGUUGGCAAUUCUGGUGUGCUUUAACCUUGGACAAGUAACUCAGCCACUUUUUACGUUGAGUAGGUGUCCUGACCUCCUUGAACCCAUUUCAUCAUCUUUAUUUGUGUCCCAG
Molecule: long non-coding RNA, 315 nt
Filed under: Homo sapiens (human)
Lineage: Eukaryota; Metazoa; Chordata; Mammalia; Primates; Hominidae
Description: HSALNT0269338
Source: RNAcentral